UCGAGCGGUAGCACAGAGAGCUUGCUCUCGGGUGACGAGCGGCGGACGGGUGAGUAAUGUCUGGGAAACUGCCUGAUGGAGGGGGAUAACUACUGGAAACGGUAGCUAAUACCGCAUAACGUCGCAAGACCAAAGUGGGGGACCUUCGGGCCUCAUGCCAUCAGAUGUGCCCAGAUGGGAUUAGCUAGUAGGUGGGGUAACGGCUCACCUAGGCGACGAUCCCUAGCUGGUCUGAGAGGAUGACCAGCCACACUGGAACUGAGACACGGUCCAGACUCCUACGGGAGGCAGCAGUGGGGAAUAUUGCACAAUGGGCGCAAGCCUGAUGCAGCCAUGCCGCGUGUGUGAAGAAGGCCUUCGGGUUGUAAAGCACUUUCAGCGGGGAGGAAGGCGUUAAGGUUAAUAACCUUGUCGAUUGACGUUACCCGCAGAAGAAGCACCGGCUAACUCCGUGCCAGCAGCCGCGGUAAUACGGAGGGUGCAAGCGUUAAUCGGAAUUACUGGGCGUAAAGCGCACGCAGGCGGUCUGUCAAGUCGGAUGUGAAAUCCCCGGGCUCAACCUGGGAACUGCAUUCGAAACUGGCAGGCUAGAGUCUUGUAGAGGGGGGUAGAAUUCCAGGUGUAGCGGUGAAAUGCGUAGAGAUCUGGAGGAAUACCGGUGGCGAAGGCGGCCCCCUGGACAAAGACUGACGCUCAGGUGCGAAAGCGUGGGGAGCAAACAGGAUUAGAUACCCUGGUAGUCCACGCCGUAAACGAUGUCGAUUUGGAGGUUGUGCCCUUGAGGCGUGGCUUCCGGAGCUAACGCGUUAAAUCGACCGCCUGGGGAGUACGGCCGCAAGGUUAAAACUCAAAUGAAUUGACGGGGGCCCGCACAAGCGGUGGAGCAUGUGGUUUAAUUCGAUGCAACGCGAAGAACCUUACCUGGUCUUGACAUCCACAGAACUUUCCAGAGAUGGAUUGGUGCCUUCGGGAACUGUGAGACAGGUGCUGCAUGGCUGUCGUCAGCUCGUGUUGUGAAAUGUUGGGUUAAGUCCCGCAACGAGCGCAACCCUUAUCCUUUGUUGCCAGCGGUUAGGCCGGGAACUCAAAGGAGACUGCCAGUGAUAAACUGGAGGAAGGUGGGGAUGACGUCAAGUCAUCAUGGCCCUUACGACCAGGGCUACACACGUGCUACAAUGGCAUAUACAAAGAGAAGCGACCUCGCGAGAGCAAGCGGACCUCAUAAAGUAUGUCGUAGUCCGGAUUGGAGUCUGCAACUCGACUCCAUGAAGUCGGAAUCGCUAGUAAUCGUAGAUCAGAAUGCUACGGUGAAUACGUUCCCGGGCCUUGUACACACCGCCCGUCACACCAUGGGAGUGGGUUGCAAAAGAAGUAGGUAGCUUAACCUUCGGGAGGGCGCUUACCACUUUGUGAUUCAUGACUGGGG
This 1426-nucleotide ribosomal RNA is filed under the name Klebsiella pneumoniae. Its description in RNAcentral is "bacterial SSU rRNA". It matches the Rfam family "Bacterial small subunit ribosomal RNA". The record is from RNAcentral. Lineage: Bacteria; Pseudomonadati; Pseudomonadota; Gammaproteobacteria; Enterobacterales; Enterobacteriaceae.